UACGUAGGGUCCGAGCGUUGUCCGGAGUUACUGGGCGUAAAGGGCGCGCAGGUGGCGGUGCUGGCCCGGCGUGAAAGCCCCCGGCUCAACCGGGGAGGGUCGUCGGGGACCGCACCGCUUGAGGGCGGUAGGGGCUGGUGGAAUGCCUGGUGUAGUGGUGAAAUGCGUAGAGAUCAGGCGGAACACCCGUAGCGAAGGCGGCCAGCUGGGCCGACCCUGACACUGAGGCGCGAAGGCGUGGGGAGCGAACGGG
This 253-nucleotide ribosomal RNA is filed under the name uncultured bacterium. Its description in RNAcentral is "partial 16S ribosomal RNA". It matches the Rfam family "Bacterial small subunit ribosomal RNA", at positions 524 to 776 of the family's 1533-position model. RNAcentral also lists the same sequence under 1 other name. The record is from RNAcentral.